AUACAUGCAGUCGAACGCUUUUUCUUUCACCGGAGCUUGCUCCACCGAAAGAAAAAGAGUGGCGAACGGGUGAGUAACACGUGGGUAACCUGCCCAUCAGAAGGGGAUAACACUUGGAAACAGGUGCUAAUACCGUAUAACACUAUUUUCCGCAUGGAAGAAAGUUGAAAGGCGCUUUUGCGUCACUGAUGGAUGGACCCGCGGUGCAUUAGCUAGUUGGUGAGGUAACGGCUCACCAAGGCCACGAUGCAUAGCCGACCUGAGAGGGUGAUCGGCCACACUGGGACUGAGACACGGCCCAGACUCCUACGGGAGGCAGCAGUAGGGAAUCUUCGGCAAUGGACGAAAGUCUGACCGAGCAACGCCGCGUGAGUGAAGAAGGUUUUCGGAUCGUAAAACUCUGUUGUUAGAGAAGAACAAGGAUGAGAGUAGAACGUUCAUCCCUUGACGGUAUCUAACCAGAAAGCCACGGCUAACUAC
This 480-nucleotide ribosomal RNA is filed under the name Enterococcus gallinarum. Its description in RNAcentral is "bacterial SSU rRNA". It matches the Rfam family "Bacterial small subunit ribosomal RNA", at positions 51 to 504 of the family's 1533-position model. Lineage: Bacteria; Bacillati; Bacillota; Bacilli; Lactobacillales; Enterococcaceae. The record is from RNAcentral.